AUCUUUUGCCAUACAACCCUGAAUUUGCCCGAUUUCAUCUAAUCUUGAUAGCUAAGUAGGGCUUGGCCUGGUUAGUACUUGGAAGGGAGACUGCCUAGGGAUGCCAGGUGCUGUAGAAU
This 119-nucleotide ribosomal RNA is filed under the name Carlito syrichta (Philippine tarsier). The record is from RNAcentral. Lineage: Eukaryota; Metazoa; Chordata; Mammalia; Primates; Tarsiidae.